AGUGAACGCUGGCGGUAGGCCUAACACAUGCAAGUCGAACGGCAGCACAGUAAGAGCUUGCUCUUACGGGUGGCGAGUGGCGGACGGGUGAGGAAUACAUCGGAAUCUACUUUUUCGUGGGGGAUAACGUAGGGAAACUUACGCUAAUACCGCAUACGACCUACGGGUGAAAGCAGGGGAUCUUCGGACCUUGCGCGACAGAAUGAGCCGAUGUCGGAUUAGCUAGUUGGCGGGGUAAAGGACCACCAAGGCGACGAUCCGUAGCGGGUCUGAGAGGAUGAUCAGCCACACUGGAACUGAGACACGGUCCAGACUCCUACGGGAGGCAGCAGUGGGGAAUAUUGGACAAUGGGCGCAAGCCUGAUCCAGCCAUACCGCGUGGGUGAAGAAGGCCUUCGGGUUGUAAAGCCCUUUUGUUGGGAAAGAAAAGCAGCAGAUUAAUCCCCCGCUGUUCUGACGGUACCCAAAGAAUAAGCACCGGCUAACUUCGUG
Molecule: ribosomal RNA, 492 nt
Filed under: uncultured bacterium
Lineage: Bacteria
Description: partial 16S ribosomal RNA
Rfam family: Bacterial small subunit ribosomal RNA
Source: RNAcentral